Molecule: ribosomal RNA, 467 nt
Filed under: uncultured bacterium
Lineage: Bacteria
Description: partial 16S ribosomal RNA
Rfam family: Bacterial small subunit ribosomal RNA
Source: RNAcentral
GACGAACGCUGGCGGCGUGCUUAACACAUGCAAGUCGAACGGAAAGGCCCUGCUUUUGUGGGGUGCUCGAGUGGCGAACGGGUGAGUAACACGUGAGUAACCUGCCCUUGACUUUGGGAUAACUUCAGGAAACUGGGGCUAAUACCGGAUAGGAGCUCCUGCUGCAUGGUGGGGGUUGGAAAGUUUCGGCGGUUGGGGAUGGACUCGGGGCUUAUCAGCUUGUUGGUGGGGUAGUGGCUUACCAAGCUUUGACGGGUAGCCGGCCUGAGAGGGUGACCGGCCACAUUGGGACUGAGAUACGGCCCAGACUCCUACGGGAGGCAGCAGUGGGGAAUAUUGCACAAUGGGCGGAAGCCUGAUGCAGCAGCGCCGCGUGCGGGAUGACGGCCUUCGGGUUGUAAACCGCUUUCGCCUGUGACGAAGCGUGAGUGACGGUAAUGGGUAAAGAAGCACCGGCUAACUACGUG